UCGACCGACAGGUGAACCGAUAUCAGUUUAACCAGCCUCUGCGCCCGCUUUGCCUCUCGGUGACGUCAGGUGGCGGAUCUUCUUAACAGGGAAACUCCUGGCUCCCAGUACGCCAAGGAACUGUAGUCAAUCGGGACGGACUGAGAGGAAGACCCCGACGGUGAGCACCCGCUUCGCAACUGAACCGGACAUCACACUGCAUACGUAUGACUCUCAGCAACGGAUAUCUCGGCUCUCAUAUCGAUGAAGAAUGUAGCAAAAUAUGAUACUUGGUGUGAAUCACAGAAUCCCGUGAGCCACCAAGUCUUUAUACGCAAGUUGCGCCCGAGGCCAUCGGGCCGAGGGCACGCCUGCCUGGGCGUCACGCCACCCAUCGCUCCCCCCCCCCACCCAUUCGACCCGGAGGGGUGACGCGGAGACUGGCCGCCCGUGCCGGAGACGAUCUCCGUGCGCGGUCGGCCCAAAUGAAGGAACGCUGCGCGGUUGGGCACGACGGGUGGUGGCCGGAGCACAGCUGCGGACGCCGCGCCUACCCAUGCCGCGCUGCGUGGAAUGAGAGGGGCACGGACUGCAGGCCGUCGAUGCGACUUGCGCGGAUCGGCGUGCCGGCUCCCG
This 615-nucleotide ribosomal RNA is filed under the name Calycanthus floridus (eastern sweetshrub). RNAcentral's name for it is "eukaryotic LSU rRNA". The stretch from base 209 to 364 matches the Rfam family "5.8S ribosomal RNA". The record is from RNAcentral. Lineage: Eukaryota; Viridiplantae; Streptophyta; Magnoliopsida; Laurales; Calycanthaceae.